GGAAUAUUGGACAAUGGGGGCAACCCUGAUCCAGCCAUGCCGCGUGAGUGAUGAAGGCCCUCGGGUCGUAAAGCUCUGUGGAGGGGGACGAAAAAAAUGACGGUACCCUUUUAGCAAGCACCGGCUAACUCCGUGCCAGCAGCCGCGGAAAUACGGAGGUUGCAAACGUUGCCCGGAAUUAUUGGGCGUAAAGCGCACGUAGGUGGCAAGACAAGUCGGAUGUGAAAGCCCUCGGCUUAACCGAGGAAGUGCAUUCGAAACUGUCUAGCUUGAGUACAGGAGAGGAUCGCGGAAUUCCCGGUGUAGAGGUGAAAUUCGUAGAUAUCGGGAGGAACACCAGUGGCGAAGGCGGCGAUCUGGACUGAUACUGACGCUGAGACGCGAAAGCGUGGGGAGCAAAC
RNAcentral lists this ribosomal RNA (401 nucleotides) under uncultured bacterium. RNAcentral's name for it is "bacterial SSU rRNA". It matches the Rfam family "Bacterial small subunit ribosomal RNA", at positions 358 to 773 of the family's 1533-position model. The record is from RNAcentral.